UGGGUCCCGGGCCUGUGAGGGAUGCCGCGUAUGGGAGGAAUCAAGGGUGAGCUGGCCCGACCUGAAGUAUGUACUGAAUGUCGUCUCACUGCCCAUAGAGGGUGUAAGGCCCGUAAGGUCGGCGUUCAGCGUCUCCCGCUGGUUCCUCUCGAGAGUCGGUUGCUUGAAAAUGCACCUAAGCGGUGGUAAACUCAUCUAAGGCAAAUAUUCCACAGACGAUAGCUUACAGUACCGCGAGGGAAAGUUGAAAAGAACUCUGAAGAGAGAGUUCAAGAGAGCGUGAAACUACACGAGGAUAAAGCGAGUGAGCGUUCGUAACCGAACGGCUGGACUCAGCCAGCCCCGGACGUUAGCGGCGGAGGGUCGCAAAACGAUGAACGGAUCUCCCGGGAUUCUUUUCGGAUCAUUUUCCGAGUUUUCCGGGUUGACCGGCGUUUCCUCUCGUACGCGCGGAAGGGGGAUGCAMUUCUGGCCGAAGUAGGACGUCGCGGCCGUUCGAGGGGUGUCGAAGACACGGGGGUCUGGGAAACCGCCUCUUCCCGUCCCGGAGCGGCCUUCGGGUCGUUUCGGAUCGCGGGUCGAGCGGGGCCGCCUCGUUGCUCUGACGGCUCUUCGGACGGUGAAAUCAUGAAAAGAGCGGGCCUGCGGACGGGGAGG
This 657-nucleotide ribosomal RNA is filed under the name Niambia sp. 1 MJ-2015. RNAcentral describes it as "partial 28S ribosomal RNA". It matches the Rfam family "Eukaryotic large subunit ribosomal RNA", at positions 124 to 506 of the family's 3401-position model. Lineage: Eukaryota; Metazoa; Arthropoda; Malacostraca; Isopoda; Platyarthridae. The record is from RNAcentral.